This 439-nucleotide ribosomal RNA is filed under the name Paraperipatus cf. lorentzi MCZ 131414. RNAcentral describes it as "partial 12S ribosomal RNA". The record is from RNAcentral. Lineage: Eukaryota; Metazoa; Onychophora; Udeonychophora; Euonychophora; Peripatopsidae.
GCAGCAGCGGUUAUACGGGUUUUAAAUUUAAUUUUUUGGAGUCAUAUUUAUUAUGAUAAAUUUAUAUAUUUAUAAGGGGUGAAAUCUUAUUAAAUUUUAUUAUAAGAGUAUUGUAAUUAAAAAAAAUAAACUAGGAUUAGAUACCCUAUUAUUUUUUAAUAUCCUAAAGUAGUAAAAUAGAAACUUUAAGAUUUUGACAGUAUUUAAUAUUCUAAAGGAACAUGUGAUUUAAUCGAUAAUACACGAUAUAUCUUACUUAUUUUAUUUUUGUAUACCUCCGUUGUUUGAUGUUAUUAAAAGUUUAAAUAAUUUUCUUAAUAAAUAGAUUUUAAAUAUCAGGUCAAGGUGCAGAAUAGACAAGUUAUUAUGUGUUACAAUCAUGAAUAAUGAAAUGGAGAAUCUUUUGAUAUAUUGAUUUGAAAAUGAAUUUAUAAGUAAA